RNAcentral lists this ribosomal RNA (253 nucleotides) under uncultured bacterium. Its description in RNAcentral is "partial 16S ribosomal RNA". It matches the Rfam family "Bacterial small subunit ribosomal RNA", at positions 524 to 776 of the family's 1533-position model. The record is from RNAcentral.
UACAGAGGUCUCAAGCGUUGUUCGGAUUCAUUGGGCGUAAAGGGUGCGUAGGCGGCGCGGUAAGUCGGGUGUGAAAUCUCGGAGCUUAACUCCGAAACUGCAUUCGAUACUGCCGUGCUUGAGGACUGGAGAGGAGAGUGGAAUUCCUGGUGUAGCGGUGAAAUGCGCAGAUAUCAGAAAGAACACCAAUGGCGAAAGCAGCUCUCUGGGACGGUACUGACGCUGAGACGCGAAAGCGUGGGGAGCGAACAGG